This 1981-nucleotide long non-coding RNA is filed under the name Sus scrofa (pig). RNAcentral's name for it is "lncRNA (ENSSSCG00065046129.1)". Lineage: Eukaryota; Metazoa; Chordata; Mammalia; Artiodactyla; Suidae. The record is from RNAcentral.
GUGAGGGACUGCGCGCCCAGCGCCAGUUCCGCAGCCACCCUGAGAAGUGGCCAAGCGAGCCCCCAAACUCUGCCGAACGCAGUUAACGCGUGUUUCCUCUCCCCCUUCAAAGACAGCCCCGAGAGUGGCGCCCACCUCGGGGGAGAUGGACAGAUACCAACGACUCUUAAUCACCCCCGCCGUUUCCCAUUUCACUCUAGUUUAACCCCGAGUCCCAGAGUAGGUCUCAAAAGUCUCCCCAAGGCAGUGCCCAAGAGAACCGCGCCCCACAUAGUGCCCUGGCUGGCAGCACAGGGACGUCUCCCCUCGGCGACCGUCCCCCUGCGAUGUUCCCCCAAAUCUACGCGGCUUCAGCCCCCUGUGCUCCAGCCCCCUCCCCGGCGCGAGGCGGGCAGCGCGCCCUGCUCACCAACGUCCCCGGCGGCGACAGUGGCGCAGGCGGGAGCCCAGGGCGCGGGGGCCCCCGGCAGGUCGCACCGGGCCCCGGGGCGUCUCCUGCAGUCCCGUUGGCAGUUGGGCCAGUAGUUUCGGACGCCCGGGCUUGGGCUCGGCGGAGAGCGAGUCUGCGUGGAUGGGAGCGAGCUAGCGGAGCUGUGCGUGCGCGUGUGAGAGUAAGAGGCGGGCGGGCCUUAGGCGCAGGCGGCGGCGGCGGCGGCGAGGUCCAGGGCGGGGAGCCUCGAGGGGGAGGAGGCCGGCGAGAAGUAGUGGAGUUUAGGGCUCGUUUCCUGCACUUCCCCAGGAGGCUGGAGCCAGGAUACAGCCUGAAGGACAAAGCUGUUGAGUUCUAGAAAGAGAUAACUCAAAUCACUGAAGGAAGAAAAAUGUGAUUCAAGGCUUAUGGAUCAUUAUAAUAUUGGAAGUACUUUGCUGUUCCUUCCCUGCUCUCAAGUGAUUCCUAGUCUGGUGGCGAAAACAUGAAUGCACAUAGCUAACCAUACUGAAAUGUGGUGACUGAGGACUGGCUUCACCAGAGAAGGUGUCGAUUUCUCUGUGUGAAGACAUGUCCUGGGAAGCUCUGUGUAGAAGUCCGUAGAGUGAGGAACUGAAACCUCCUGCCAAGAACCACAUGAGUGAACUUGGAUGCAGGUUCUUCAGCCUCAAUCAAUCUUCAGAGACUAAAUACAAUCACAGCAACAAUUCUGAGCAACCUCAUGAGAAACUCUGAGCAAGAACCACUCAGCUAAGCCAUGUCUAGAUGUCAAACACUUAGAAAUUGUGAGUUUUUUGUUUUUUUGUUGUUUGUUUUUGCUUUAAGAUACCACAUUUGAGGAUAAUUUGUUACAUAAUAGUAGGUAACUAAUACAAUCUCUAAAUUUACAUCUCCAGUCAGACCUCUGACCUGAACUUUAGACUUGUAUAUCCAACAGUCUGCUUGCUAUCUCUACCUAGAUGUCUUAUAGACAUUUCGAUUUCAGUGUUUAAACUCGUACUCUUUGCUCUCACCUCUCACCCAAAGUUCAACAUAACUUCCGUGUAGGUUAAAUUCUUCAUGCCAGUUAUUAAUUCAUGGAGAAAUCCUUGACUUCUGUCUUUUACACUCUUGCCCCAACCUAUCUAGAAAUUCUUUUGGCUCUACUUGAAAGUUAUUUCCUGAGUUGACCACUGCUCACCACCUCACUGCUACCAUUCUAGUGCAAGUCAGUCUCAUUCUUCAUUUGAUUGUUGCCAGAAACUCCCUAUUGCCUUUCAAUUUCUAUUCUUGUCUCCUUCCCCCCACUGCAGAGUCUCAACACAGAAGGCAGUUUUCCUUUCAAAAUGUAUCCUUAUCCUUUAAAAACUUGAGUUAAAUUUCCCAUUUAGAUACUGGUGGGGUUGCUAGUAUCAGACUAACCUUCCUGUACAUAGCAAUUAUAAACCCUGGACAAAAUAUUUUUUAAAAAGCAGUUAAAUCCCCUCUCAGUGUCUGCUGACUUUGGAUUAGCACUGGUACAUAAUCCAAAGUCGGCAGACGCUGAGAGGCGAUUUAAUGUUUGAAAGAAGA